This 492-nucleotide ribosomal RNA is filed under the name uncultured bacterium. RNAcentral's name for it is "bacterial SSU rRNA". It matches the Rfam family "Bacterial small subunit ribosomal RNA", at positions 43 to 524 of the family's 1533-position model. The record is from RNAcentral.
CAGGCCUAACACAUGCAAGUCGAACGGCAGCACAGUGGUAGCAAUACCAUGGGUGGCGAGUGGCGGACGGGUGAGGAAUACAUCGGAAUCUACCUUUUCGUGGGGGAUAACGUAGGGAAACUUACGCUAAUACCGCAUACGACCUUAGGGUGAAAGCGGAGGACCUUCGGGCUUCGCGCGGAUAGAUGAGCCGAUGUCGGAUUAGCUAGUUGGCGGGGUAAAGGCCCACCAAGGCGACGAUCCGUAGCUGGUCUGAGAGGAUGAUCAGCCACACUGGAACUGAGACACGGUCCAGACUCCUACGGGAGGCAGCAGUGGGGAAUAUUGGACAAUGGGCGCAAGCCUGAUCCAGCCAUGCCGCGUGGGUGAAGAAGGCCUUCGGGUUGUAAAGCCCUUUUGUUGGGGAAGAAAAGCAGCCGGUUAAUACCCGAUUGUUCUGACGGUACCCAAAGAAUAAGCACCGGCUAACUUCGUGCCAGCAGCCGCGGUAAU